GUGUCAGCAGCCGCGGUAAUACGUAGGGCGCAAGCGUUGUCCGGAAUUAUUGGGCGUAAAGAGCUCGUAGGCGGUUUGUCGCGUCUGGUGUGAAAACUCAAGGCUCAACCUUGAGCUUGCAUCGGGUACGGGCAGACUAGAGUGUGGUAGGGGUGACUGGAAUUCCUGGUGUAGCGGUGGAAUGCGCAGAUAUCAGGAGGAACACCGAUGGCGAAGGCAGGUCACUGGGCCACUACUGACGCUGAGGAGCGAAAGCAUGGGGAGCGAACAGGAUUAGAUACCCCCGUAGUCC
RNAcentral lists this ribosomal RNA (292 nucleotides) under uncultured bacterium. RNAcentral's name for it is "partial 16S ribosomal RNA". It matches the Rfam family "Bacterial small subunit ribosomal RNA", at positions 505 to 796 of the family's 1533-position model. The record is from RNAcentral.